Molecule: ribosomal RNA, 858 nt
Filed under: uncultured bacterium
Lineage: Bacteria
Description: bacterial SSU rRNA
Rfam family: Bacterial small subunit ribosomal RNA
Source: RNAcentral
GCAAGUCGAGCGAAGAAUAUAUAAAGAAAUCUUCGGAUGGAAUUAUAUAUUUCUUAGCGGCGGACGGGUGAGUAACGCGUGAGGAACCUGCCUUGUACUAGGGGAUAGCCUCGGGAAACCGGGAUUAAUACCCUAUGAUACUUGAGAAUCACAUGAUUUUCAAGUCAAAGCGAUUUAGCGGUAUAAGAUGGUCUCGCGUCCCAUUAGCUAGUUGGUGAGGUAAUAGCUCACCAAGGCGACGAUGGGUAGCCGGCCUGAGAGGGUGAACGGCCACACUGGAACUGAGACACGGUCCAGACUCCUACGGGAGGCAGCAGUGGGGAAUAUUGCACAAUGGAGGAAACUCUGAUGCAGCGACGCCGCGUGAGCGAUGAAGGUUUUCGGAUCGUAAAGCUCUGUCCUAAGGGACGAUAAUGACGGUACCUUAGGAGGAAGCCCCGGCUAACUACGUGCCAGCAGCCGCGGUAAUACGUAGGGGGCGAGCGUUGUCCGGAUUUAUUGGGCGUAAAGGGUGCGUAGGCGGCCUUGUAAGUCAGAUGUGAAAUCUCACGGCUUAACCGUGGUAAGCAUUUGAAACUGUGAGGCUUGAGUACAGGAGAGGAGAGUGGAAUUCCUAGUGUAGCGGUGAAAUGCGUAGAUAUUAGGAGGAAUACCAGUGGCGAAGGCGACUCUCUGGACUGUAACUGACGCUGAGGCACGAAAGCGUGGGGAGCAAACAGGAUUAGAUACCCUGGUAGUCCACGCCGUAAACGAUGAGUGCUAGGUGUCGGGGGUCAAACCUCGGUGCCGCAGUUAACACAUUAAGCACUCCGCCUGGGGAGUACGGUGGCAACACUGCAACUCAAUGAAUUGACGGAA